GAGAGAGAGAGAGAGAGAGGGAGUUUGCAAUUGGAAAGGGAGAGAUUAGGGCUGUUUAGAGGAGAGAUGGACAGAACAGAAUUUUUUUAGGUAGAUGAAUGGGGAAUACAAAAAUAAUUAACGGUUUUCGAACGUGUAAGUGGGAAUGGGAACUUAGAUUGAUUGAUGAGUGCCACUGCCACAACCUCGACCCUAUUCCUGGGAGAGAAUAGUGUGAUUUCAUUACUUUAUAACUCCCG
Molecule: long non-coding RNA, 239 nt
Filed under: Amborella trichopoda
Lineage: Eukaryota; Viridiplantae; Streptophyta; Magnoliopsida; Amborellales; Amborellaceae
Description: long non-coding RNA (ATRI_LNC002637)
Source: RNAcentral